CCUACGGGAGGCAGCAGUAAGGAAUAUUGGUCAAUGGACGCAAGUCUGAACCAGCCAUGCCGCGUGAAGGAUUAAGGUCCUCUGGAUUGUAAACUUCUUUUAUCUGGGACGAAAAAAGGCGAUUCUUCGUCACUUGACGGUACCAGAUGAAUAAGCACCGGCUAACUCCGUGCCAGCAGCCGCGGUAAUACGGAGGGUGCAAGCGUUAUCCGGAUUCACUGGGUUUAAAGGGUGCGUAGGCGGGCAGGUAAGUCAGUGGUGAAAUCCUAGAGCUUAACUCUAGAACUGCCAUUGAUACUAUCUGUCUUGAAUAUUGUGGAGGUAAGCGGAAUAUGUCAUGUAGCGGUGAAAUGCUUAGAUAUGACAUAGAACACCUAUUGCGAAGGCAGCUUACUACGCAUAUAUUGACGCUGAGGCACGAAAGCGUGGGGAUCAAACAGGAUUAGAUACCCUGGUAGUCCACGCCCUAAACGAUGAUUACUCGACAUUUGUGAUACACUAUAAGUGUCUGAGCGAAAGCAUUAAGUAAUCCACCUGGAAGUACGACCGCAAGUUGAAACUCAAAGGAAUUAGACGG
RNAcentral lists this ribosomal RNA (577 nucleotides) under uncultured bacterium. Its description in RNAcentral is "bacterial SSU rRNA". It matches the Rfam family "Bacterial small subunit ribosomal RNA", at positions 338 to 917 of the family's 1533-position model. The record is from RNAcentral.